Molecule: non-coding RNA, 32 nt
Organism: Schistosoma rodhaini
Lineage: Eukaryota; Metazoa; Platyhelminthes; Trematoda; Strigeidida; Schistosomatidae
Source: Rfam
GAAGAGUCCCACAAUAGGACGAAACGGCCGUC